ACGAACGCUGGCGGCGUGCUUAACCCCUGCAAGUCGAACGGUGAAGCUCCAGCUUGCUGGAGUGGAUCAGUGGCGAACGGGUGAGUAACACGUGAGCAACCUGCCCCUGACUCUGGAAUAAGCGCUGGAAACGGCGUCUAAUACUGGAUAUGAGAAGGGUCCGCAUGGACACUUUCUGGAAAGUUUUUCGGUUGGGGAUGGGCUCGCGGCCUAUCAGCUUGUUGGUGAGGUAAUGGCUCACCAAGGCGACGACGGGUAGCCGGCCUGAGAGGGCGACCGGCCACACUGGGACUGAGACACGGCCCAGACUCCUACGGGAGGCAGCAGUGGGGAAUAUUGCACAAUGGGCGAAAGCCUGAUGCAGCGACGCCGCGUGAGGGAUGACGGCCUUCGGGUUGUAAACCUCUUUCAGCAGGGAAGAAGCGAAAGUGACGGUACCUGCAGAAGAAGCACCGGCUAACUACGUG
This 467-nucleotide ribosomal RNA is filed under the name uncultured bacterium. RNAcentral's name for it is "partial 16S ribosomal RNA". It matches the Rfam family "Bacterial small subunit ribosomal RNA", at positions 29 to 507 of the family's 1533-position model. The record is from RNAcentral.